RNAcentral lists this ribosomal RNA (443 nucleotides) under uncultured bacterium. RNAcentral describes it as "bacterial SSU rRNA". It matches the Rfam family "Bacterial small subunit ribosomal RNA", at positions 30 to 472 of the family's 1533-position model. The record is from RNAcentral.
AUUGAACGCUGGCGGCGUGCCUAACACAUGCAAGUCGAGCGGUAACAGGUGUAGCAAUACAUGCUGACGAGCGGCGAACGGGUGAGUAAUGCUUUGGAAUCUUCCCAGUAGUGGGGAAUAACCAGUCGAAAGAUUGGCUAAUACCGCAUACGUCUGUAAAGGGAAAGCGGGGGCUCGUAAGACCUCGCGCUAUUGGAUGAGCCAAAGUCGGAUUAGCUAGUUGGGGGGUAAUGGCCUACCAAGGCGACAAUCCGUAGCUGGUCUGAGAGGACGACCAGCCACACCGGAACUGAGACACGGUCCGGACUCCUACGGGAGGCAGCAGUGGGGAAUAAUUGGACAAUGGGGGAAACCCUGAUCCAGCGACGCCGCGUGUGUGAAGAAGGCCUGCGGGUUGUAAAGCACAUUUAGUGGGGACAAAAAGCUACGGAUUAAUACUCUGU